GCUUGCGGCAGCUACACAUGCAGUCGAACGGUAGCACAGAGAGCUUGCUCUCGGGUGACGAGUGGCGGACGGGUGAGUAAUGUCUGGGAAACUGCCUGAUGGAGGGGGAUAACUACUGGAAACGGUAGCUAAUACCGCAUAACGUCGCAAGACCAAAGACCCCGACCUUCGGGCCUCUUGCCAUCAGAUGUGCCCAGAUGGGAUUAGCUAGUAGGUGCCGUAACGGCUCACCUAGGCGACGAUCCCUAGCUGGUCUGAGACCUUGACCAGCCACACUGGAACUGAGACACGGUCCAGACUCCUACGGGAGGCAGCAGUGGGGAAUAUUGCACAAUGGGCGCAAGCCUGAUGCAGCCAUGCCGCGUGUAUGAAGAAGGCCUUCGGGUUGUAAAGUACUUUCAGCGGGGAGGAAGGUGUUGUGGUUAAUAACCGCAGCAAUUGACGUUACCCGCAGAAGUUGCACCGGCUAACUCCGUGCCAGCAGCCGCGGUAAUACGGAGGGUGCAAGCGUUAAUCGGAAUUACUCCCCGUAAAGCGCACGCAGGCGGUCUGUCAAGUCGGAUGUGAAAUCCCCGGGCUCAACCUGGGAACUGCAUUCGAAACUGGCAGGCUGGAGUCUUGUAGAGCCCCCUAGAAUUCCAGGUGUAGCGGUGAAAUGCGUAGAGAUCUGGAGGAAUACCGGUGGCGA
This 688-nucleotide ribosomal RNA is filed under the name Enterobacter cloacae. Its description in RNAcentral is "bacterial SSU rRNA". It matches the Rfam family "Bacterial small subunit ribosomal RNA", at positions 35 to 718 of the family's 1533-position model. Lineage: Bacteria; Pseudomonadati; Pseudomonadota; Gammaproteobacteria; Enterobacterales; Enterobacteriaceae. The record is from RNAcentral.